UAAUCUGAAGUCAGGCAAGAGUACGCGCUGAACUUAAGCAUAUCACUAAGCGCAGGAAUUGAAAUAACUAUGAUUGCCUCAGUAACGGCGAGUGAAGCGGCAAGAGCCCAAGAUGAAAAUUGCUGUCCUUUGGACGCGAAGAAUUGUAAUCUAUAGAGCAGUCGCUGACAGAUCCCUUGAAGCUCAAGUGUCCUGGAAUGGACCGCCAUGGAGGGUGAAAGCCCCGUACGGCAUCGAGGAGGUUCUAAGUGGCUGUUUGAAGAGUCGAGUUGUUCGGGACUGCAGCUCUAAGUGGGAGGUAGACUUCUCCUAAGGCUAAAUAACUAUGAGAGACCGAUAGCGAACAAGUAAUGUGAAUGAAAGAUGAAAAAUAUAUUAACUAUCCGUAAGAACUUUGAAUGAAUAAAAGAGAAUUAAAUAGACCUGAAACCGUUGAGGUGGAAGCGAUAGGACGUUUUCAUUUGGGCUCGAGCUGGCAGAGCGGCUUUGCCGUGAGUCUGCUCGUGUUCAAAAAGCAAGAUAGUCUCGGGUCGCGUCAAAGCCUACCGCUGGGCCAGAGCUUCGGCAUCACUCAGUGGGUGGCGGUCGCGGUCGGGGUCGAGGGGCUUCGUGCGAUCUUGCUAAGUUUGAUAUUGUCCUACCGACCCGUCUUGAAACACGGAACAAGGAGUCUAACAAAUACGCGAUUAUGUUGGUGUUUGUAAACCAUGCAUGAGCAAUGAAAGUAAGCGGUGCCAAUCGCAAGAUGCAGCAUCGGCCGAUCGUGCGCCUCUGGCAAAACGUGUUGGCUACGAGCGUAUCUGUUAGGACCCGAAAGAUGGUGAACUACGCUUGGGUAGGAUGAAGCCGGAAGAAAUUCCUGUUGGAGGUCCGAAACGGUACUGACGUGCAAAUCGUUCGUCAAACUUGAGUGUAGGGGCGAAAGACUAAUCGAACCAUCUAGUAGCUGGUUCCCUCCGAAGUUUCUCUCAGGAUAGCAAAGACAGUUAAAGCAGUUUUAUUUGAGGUAAAGAAUAAAUGAUUAGAAGCAUCUGGGAUUUAUUUGUGAUCUCGACUUAGUUCUCAAACUCUAAAUAUUGUAAUAGCUCGGUAUUUCUUAAGUGAAGAUCGAGGCAGAAUGCUUGUCUUUAGUGGGCCAUUUUUGGUAAGCAGAACUGGCGAUGAGGGAUGAACCUAACUCUGAGUUAAGGUGCCAAACUGCACGCGCAUCAGAAACCACGAAAGGGUGUGUUGAUUCAUUUUGACAGCAGGACGGUGGCCAUGGAAGUUGGAACCCGCUAAGGAGUGUGUAACAACUCACCUGCCGAAUGAAUUAGCCCCGAAAAUUUUGAUGGCUCUCCAGCGUGCGACCGAUACUCGGACAUUGCAACGAAAGUCUGAUUGCAAUGAGUAGGGGGGGCGUAGGCGUCUUGUCGAAGCUUUGAGCGUGAGCCUGAGUAGAAAGGCGUCUAGUGCAGAUCUUGGUGGUAGUAGCAAUUAUUCAAAUGAGAACUUUGAAGGCCGAAGUGGAGAAGGUUUCCAUGAGAACAGCAAUUGGUCAUGGGUGACUCGGUCCUAAGAUAUUGGUAAACACCUUGCAAAUGAGCUUCGGCUCGCGAUCGAAGAAGGGAAAAUGAGGUUAAUAUUCCUCAAGCUGGCUAUGGAUGUCACGGUAACGUUUGUGAGCUCGGUGACACCAGCGCGUGCCUCUGAAAGAGUUAUCUUUUCUUUCCUAACAGUCAAGCGACCCUGAAAUCGGAUUAUCCGGAGAUGAGGGUUGUAAGGCUGGAAUAGUGUAUGUUUCUUGAUACAAAUUAGAUGCGCUCGCGAUGGUCCUUGAAAAACCCGAGUGAGGUAAUUAUUCCAUACCAGGCCGUACCAAUAACCGCAUCAGGUCUCCAAGGUUAGCAGCCUCUGGUCGAUUAGAAGAAUGUAGAUAAGGGAAGUCGGCAAAUUAGAUCUGUAACUUCGGGAAAAGUAUUGGCUCUGAGGAUAAUAUCUGUGUGAGGCGGUACCGGCGAUGACGGUCGAGUCAGUUGCGGUCUGCUUGUUUCGGCUUGUGGAUCGCUUCGCGGCAGGCCUGAUUCCGUCCGGACUGCCGCCUUGCAUUCGUUUGUA
Ribosomal RNA from Reticulomyxa filosa, 2097 nucleotides. It matches the Rfam family "Eukaryotic large subunit ribosomal RNA", at positions 1 to 2081 of the family's 3401-position model. The record is from Rfam. NCBI's taxonomy places the organism in Eukaryota, Foraminifera, Reticulomyxidae.